Molecule: long non-coding RNA, 655 nt
Filed under: Pan paniscus (pygmy chimpanzee)
Lineage: Eukaryota; Metazoa; Chordata; Mammalia; Primates; Hominidae
Description: lncRNA (ENSPPAG00000044863.1)
Source: RNAcentral
AGCAUGGUUUUUGAGUGGCUCCAAAAACAUUCAGUACAUUUAGCUCCUGGCAUCAUUCUACCAUCUUGGGUGCCACUCGAAAAUAAAAAAAUGAAGAAACAAAACAAGAAGCCUGAGAAAUUCUUUUUUACAGAGAGCAGGACCUGUCACAGUGAUGGAAUCUGCAGGCCAGUGGAAGUUUGUUAGCUGGUUUCCCAUGCUGCGGGCAAAGAGCAUACUAAAUCCCCGUGGAGUGUGACUUCUCCCCCUCUGUACACCCUGGAACAUAACUCUGCCGUACUGGCCAAGUGCUACAGCCGAAACGAGAACAGUAUCUGGUUAAGCAGAUGUGUAUCAACAACUACACUCUGGAAAAAAGGACGUAACUCUGGUUCUGCCACUUAGCAACUGCAAGAUCAACCACUCUGUGCCUCAGUGUCCUUUAAAAUCGGGUUAAUAACACUACCCAAUGCAGAAAGCUGUGUGAGAUGGUAUAUUAAAGGGUCCAUGAGUGCCAAGGCACAUGGUCAUGCAACAUAAAUCUUAGUUUUCUGUUACAGUAUUCAAGGUAUGUAGUAUUCGUACAUAGCAUUGCAUGCACACAUACAUACAAACAUAAAACUGACAUUUUCUUUUCUGCAUCAUGGUAACUACCUUAUUUUCCUAUGGUGUGUCC